RNAcentral lists this ribosomal RNA (497 nucleotides) under uncultured bacterium. RNAcentral's name for it is "partial 16S ribosomal RNA". It matches the Rfam family "Bacterial small subunit ribosomal RNA", at positions 28 to 507 of the family's 1533-position model. The record is from RNAcentral.
GACGAACGCUGGCGGCGUGCCUAAUACAUGCAAGUUGAGCGCUGAAGGUUGGUACUUGUACCAACUGGAUGAGCAGCGAACGGGUGAGUAACGCGUGGGGAAUCUGCCUUUGAGCGGGGGACAACAUUUGGAAACGAAUGCUAAUACCGCAUAAAAACUUUAAACACAAGUUUUAAGUUUGAAAGAUGCAAUUGCAUCACUCAAAGAUGAUCCCGCGUUGUAUUAGCUAGUUGGUGAGGUAAAGGCUCACCAAGGCGAUGAUACAUAGCCGACCUGAGAGGGUGAUCGGCCACAAUGGGACUGAGACACGGCCCAAACUCCUACGGGAGGCAGCAGUAGGGAAGCUUCGGCAAUGGACGAAAGUCUGACCGAGCAACGCCGCGUGAGGGAAGAAGGUUUUCGGAUCGUAAAACUCUGUUGGUAGAGAAGAACGGUGGUGAGAGUGGAAAGCUCAUCAAGUGACGGUAACUACCCAGAAAGGGACGGCUAACUACGUG